RNAcentral lists this ribosomal RNA (423 nucleotides) under uncultured Glomeromycotina. Its description in RNAcentral is "SSU rRNA". It matches the Rfam family "Eukaryotic small subunit ribosomal RNA", at positions 671 to 1092 of the family's 1831-position model. Lineage: Eukaryota; Fungi; Glomeromycota. The record is from RNAcentral.
CGGUACGUACUGGUAUUGUUGGUUUCUCCCUUCUGACGAACCAUGAUGUCAUUUAUUUGGUGUUGUGGGGAAUCAGGACUGUUACUUUGAAAAAAUUAGAGUGUUUAAAGCAGGCUCACGCUUGAAUACAUUAGCAUGGAAUAAUGAAAUAGGACGUUUGAUUCUAUUUUGUUGGUUUCUAGGAUCGACGUAAUGAUUAAUAGGGAUAGUUGGGGGCAUUAGUAUUCAAUUGUCAGAGGUGAAAUUCUUGGAUUUAUUGAAGACUAACUACGGCGAAAGCAUUUGCCAAGGAUGUUUUCAUUAAUCAAGAACGAAAGUUAGGGGAUCGAAGACGAUCAGAUACCGUCGUAGUCUUAACCAUAAACUAUGCCGACUAGGGAUCGGAUGAUGUUAAUUUUUUAAUGACUCAUUCGGCGCCUUACG